Molecule: ribosomal RNA, 253 nt
Filed under: uncultured bacterium
Lineage: Bacteria
Description: partial 16S ribosomal RNA
Rfam family: Bacterial small subunit ribosomal RNA
Source: RNAcentral
CACGUAGGGCGCAAGCGUUGUCCGGAAUUACUGGGCGUAAAGCGUGCGUAGACGGUAGCGUAAGUCAGAUGUGAAAGCCCCGGGCUCAACCUGGGAAUUGCAUUUGAGACUGCUCUGCUCGGGUGCGGAAGAGGGAAGCGGAAUUUCCGGUGUAGCGGUGAAAUGCGUAGAUAUCGGAAGGAACACCAGUGGCGAAAGCGGCUUCCUGGUCCGACACCGACGUUCAGGCACGAAAGCGUGGGGAGCAAACAGG